AACUUUCAGCAACGGAUCUCUUGGCUCUCGCAUCGAUGAAGAACGCAGCGAAAUGCGAUAAGUAAUGUGAAUUGCAGAAUUCAGUGAAUCAUCGAAUCUUUGAACGCACCUUGCGCUCCUUGGUAUUCUGAGGAGCAUGCCUGUUUGAGUGU
This 152-nucleotide ribosomal RNA is filed under the name Cortinarius squamulosus. Its description in RNAcentral is "5.8S ribosomal RNA". It matches the Rfam family "5.8S ribosomal RNA". Rfam says of the family: 5.8S ribosomal RNA (5.8S rRNA) is a component of the large subunit of the eukaryotic ribosome. Lineage: Eukaryota; Fungi; Basidiomycota; Agaricomycetes; Agaricales; Cortinariaceae. The record is from RNAcentral.